CCUACGGGGGACAGCAGUCGAGAAUCAUUCACAAUGGGGGAAACCCUGAUGGUGCGACGCCGCGUGGGGGAAUGAAGGUCUUCGGAUUGUAAACCCCUGUCAUGUGGGAGCAAAUUAAAAAGAUAGUACCACACGAGGAAGAGACGGCUAACUCUGUGCCAGCAGCCGCGGUAAUACAGAGGUCUCAAGCGUUGUUCGGAAUCACUGGGCGUAAAGCGUGCGUAGGCUGUUUCGUAAGUCGUGUGUGAAAGGCGCGGGCUCAACCCGCGGACGGCACAUGAUACUGCGAGACUAGAGUAAUGGAGGGGGAACCGGAAUUCUCGGUGUAGCAGUGAAAUGCGUAGAUAUCGAGAGGAACACUCGUGGCGAAGGCGGGUUCCUGGACAUUAACUGACGCUGAGGCACGAAGGCCAGGGGAGCGAAAGGGAUUAGAUACCCUAGUAGUC
Molecule: ribosomal RNA, 446 nt
Filed under: uncultured bacterium
Lineage: Bacteria
Description: partial 16S ribosomal RNA
Rfam family: Bacterial small subunit ribosomal RNA
Source: RNAcentral